CCAUUAGAAGAUAAGUCUCUUGAGAAUAGCAUGGAAAAAAAAUCAUGUAUAGUUAAUACUUUUUGAGAACUUUUUGUGUGCCUAGUACUGUUCUAAACAGCACAUAAACAUUAUCUAAUUGAACCCUCAUUAAUCCUUUGAAAUAGAUUUUAUUUUUAUCAUCCCCCUUUUGAAGAGGAAAACACUAAGAUUUAAAGAAUUUAAGUUAUUGGGUCAAAGUCAUAUAAUUACUAAAUAGUAAAACCAAGAUUUGAACCUAGGUUUUUUGUUUUGUUUUUCAUUCCAGAUUUCAAGUUCAUAAUUAGUAGAGAAAAAGCCCAGGCUUGGAGCAAGAGAGAGUCAGCUUAAAUUCUUGCUUUGUGCAUAACUUACUAGUUGUAUGAUGUUGGGUAAAUUAUUUGACUUUUCUGAGCCUUGCUCUUCUCAUCUGAAAAAAGAAGGCCAUGAAAUUUUUCUUUAUGUGCCCCCCAGGACAAGGUGACUUAGUGAUGCUGGAAGCUUGUCGGGCUGGACUGGCCUUGCCAAUGGUCACCAAUGGGACUUCCAGUCAGUAUCGCUCAUGAUCCCAGGCUCCGGAUGGGUACCUGGAGCUGUUUCAAAUGCCAAGAACCUUCCUGCAUAGGCUCUCUCUGAAGACAGUUUCUACUGACAUGAGCAUGUGCUGAAGGUAGCAGGAAGGGCUCAUAACCAAAGAGAAUAAUUCCCGCAAAGACUGUCAGUGUGAGGAAGUCUAUGCCCGGGGUGAGCUGAGGUUAGUUCAGGGCAAGGAAGAGAAAUGGGAAGGAAAGGUCUCUUGUCCUCAACACAUUAUGCAAUGUUACAAGUGAAUGAAGAGAAAGCAGAGUGCUGAACUUCUCGCUUGUCCCCUCUCCUCUAUUAAGGAAGAGUAUCUUCAAACUGGAGAGAAGCAAACCAAUAUGACUAAGAGGAACUGUGGAUGUGAUCACUGAACCAUGCCAAUAAUCUCCAUGGAAUCAAGGGGAGCUGGAAAGAUGCCAAAAGAGUCCUUGUUUCUGAGAAGUAGACAUACCCAGGCUCCUGAGUAUGAAAGGACAAAGGAUUUCUGAAAUGAUCCUUGGCAAAAUGUUUGGAUUUUUGGAAUUUUAAAAUGGAUGGCUUAUAAGCACUUAGAAAGUUAAAUAGAGAUCACUGGGAGCCAACAUAGGUUUAAUACAAAGACAUACCUAAAUCAACCAUUUCUUUCUAAAAUAAUGAGUUUUAAGUAAAACUUACCCAUAUAACAAGAGGUGACAACUGACAUCUAUGUGGUGAUUAACACUACAUAUGUGACUCAGCUGAUGCUCAUAUCUUCAUAACAAAUCUUUGAGUCAGGUACUAUUGCUGAAUUUGACCCUCAUUUAACAGAUAAUAAAACUUUAAAAAUGGAAUCUUAGAAAAGUUAAGCAAUUUAUAGAAUCUUACUCAGCUAGUAAAUUACAGGAUUCAAGAGAUUUUCUAACUCCAAUGCCAACACUUAUUUAUUAUGUUAUACUUUAUGUAAAUAUUGUGUAUCUUGAUUUCAACCAGGCAAUGACCAACUCUUUAUUGAUAUCUUCAUGGAAAGUAUGGGACAUAAAGACUGUAAAUAUAUUGCAUUGUGAUUAGUUGAACCAAUGUAAUCAAUGGAUAUUGACAUAUAGAUUGAUGUCAUUUUAGAAGCAAUUCUUUAGUCAUGUCCCAAGCACUCUCCUUUGUCCAAUUUUGUUCAGUAAUUUUAAGCAAUAGAUAAAAGCAUGAAGAACACGUCUAUCAGGUAAUAUUAGCAUACUCUGUAAUUCAAAGGUACCAAAAUGUAAUUUUUUCUUCUGUAUAUUUGAAUUCAACUUUUAAGUCCUAGAGCACACAAUCUAUUGUAUUCCAUUUUGUGAUGCUGUUUUUUCCUAGUCAAUUUACAUGCUAUUAUCUCAGUCUUAAUCCAUUCACUUUGGCAUAAAGCACAGUCUUUCAGGACUUCUUUCCCCUCCCUCUCAUUUUUUCUUUCUUCCAGAAGACAUCUGUGCACAGAGGGAAGCUUUCAGAAAUAACAACAUGGCCACAGGAGGAGGGCUUUCUGGCCUCUGUGUCCUUUUCCAGUUUCUGUUGGUGGUCAAAGGGUCCCCAACCUGGCCUCUGGACUUGGAUCAGCAUCUGCUGGUGUCUGACAAUCCUACCUGGCUCUCAGCUGUGAUGAUAUCAUAGUCUGUGUCUCCUGUAGGUACCCCUGACCACGUCUUUCAUUCCCUCUGUCCUCUCAAUAUCUCACAUGCUCUGACCAAGCUGGAGGGAACGGGGAACACUACCUCAGAACCAUUGUCCUGAUGACAUUCCACUGCUCUGAACCACAGGGCAAUCUAUGAGUGAUCACUCUCCAGGAGAGCAAGGCAUAAACCUUGUGUGUGCCAAGAGUCUUGCCCCACCUACUCAGGAUUUCUAGGACCUCCUUUUUCUUCCAGCUGCCCCCAGACUUUGAGCGUCUAAAUUGUGAUAUUAGGAAACCUGGUAGCAGAUUAGGGAAGAGGUGGUCACAAUAAUUCAGUUCACCUAGAUGAAGGUCAGCCAUAUGGAAAGAAACUUUUCCAACUGAAGGAAUCUCCCCCAAGUGAUGGAAAUAUGACUUUAGAUACAAGUCUGUCCAACCUGAAAGCUGGUCUUUCAGUGUCAUAGGAGUGUGUUGAUAGUUCAACCUUGAGGAUAAUUAAGAAAAUAUACACAAUAUACCUAUGGCUGAUUCUUAUUGAUGUUUGGCAGAAAAACAACACAAUUCUGUAAGGCAAUUAUCCUUCCAGGUCUCCCACAUUUCAGGCAGAUUCUUUACUGUCUGAGCCACCAGGGAAGCCCUCAAUUAAAAAAUAAAUACAUUUAAAAUAAAAAAAAGCUUGAAUCACAGAUUAAAAAAAAUACACAAAAUAACUGACAUGUAACUAAUCCUCAAUAAAUGGUCAUUAUUCUGAGCAUCCUCCUAGGUAUUUGGGCUGACUCAACCAAGUUUCUUUAAGAAACCACUAAUCUAUCAACUUGCUUAAGAACCUGAGCCAAACACAAUUCCCAACACAUAUCCUAGCAUUCCUAUUACAUCAGAGUCCUAGAAGCAUUGGCUGUUGCUCUCUCACAAGUCACUGGAUGUUGACAUCCUUGAAUGUCAGGAGCAGGUCUGGUUGCCAGUACUGAAGAGGUAAAGGCAGGGGUCAGUGUCAGAUGCGGUGGGAAAGCUCUGCUAAGUUUACCCUCUGGGCAUAAGUCUACUUCUCCUUAUCAGUAGUUUGUCAUGUUGAAUUUGCCAUUUUGCCAAAGACAGCAGCAGAAAGGGAGUUUCUGAAGGGUAAGGUGGUAGAAGAAUACAGAGACAGGAAACCCACAGCUAGCAUUUGUCUCAUUAAAAUCUGUCAAAGCCAGAGGAACAGAAGGCAGCAAAGAGCUAAAAUCAGAUGUCACUAGCUCUCAGAGUAUGUUGACAUGUGGGAGAGCAAACUGUAGUGACAACGUGCCCUUCAGCUGCCGUGGCUCUCGGCUGGUAAUAAUAAAGCCCUUUGCAGGCUGCAGUGGGGAGGCAGACAGCAGUCUCACGCUCGAGGACAGUUACAGCUGAUGGGCUGCAGGACCCUUGCAAUGACUUAUUGCCUUUAAAGAAACGUUUUGUCUUGGCAAGAUCGGCUUAGGAAAACCAGUGUGAUUUUAUUUGUGGAUAUAGACUCAUCAUGAUGCGUUCAAAUCAUCACCUUUUUACCUGUACCUGUAAGACUGAAAAUAUUUAAGCUUAUAUUAAAGGAAUAAAUAGAAUCUUAUCAAUCCAAAUUUUUGCAUAUUGGAUGCUAUCAAUGGUAGAGUAACUCUUAGAAUGGAUGAAGUAAAAUAAUGGCUUGCUUAAAGGUAGUGUGAUAGAGUGGGAAAAGCAGGGACUCUGGAGGCCUACAGAUAGGGGUUCAAAUUCUGGCUCUCCACUUACUGAGGAUGUCUGCUUGGGCAAUAUAUGUAAUUUCUUUGUAACUCAGCUUCCCUCAUCUUCAAAGGAGGGGUGCUUAUUUCUUGCUUUUAGAGUUAUUCUGAGUAUUUGUUGAAAUCACACAUCGUAUACCAUAUAUGGCAUAAUGCGUGCAUGCUUGGUGGUAUCCAACUCUUUGCAACCCCAUGG
Bubalus bubalis (water buffalo) is the source of this 4108-nucleotide long non-coding RNA. RefSeq lists it as uncharacterized. NCBI's taxonomy places the organism in Eukaryota, Metazoa, Chordata, Mammalia, Artiodactyla, Bovidae. The transcript has 3 exons. The record is from RefSeq and is a predicted model, not a curated record.